RNAcentral lists this ribosomal RNA (253 nucleotides) under uncultured bacterium. Its description in RNAcentral is "partial 16S ribosomal RNA". It matches the Rfam family "Bacterial small subunit ribosomal RNA", at positions 524 to 776 of the family's 1533-position model. The record is from RNAcentral.
UACAGAGGUCCCAAGCGUUGUUCGGAUUCAUUGGGCGUAAAGGGUGCGUAGGUGGUAGACUAAGUCGGGCGUGAAAUCCCAGGGCUCAACCCUGGAACUGCGUUCGAUACUGGCCUGCUCGAGGACUGGAGAGGAGAUUGGAAUUCAUGGUGUAGCAGUGAAAUGCGUAGAUAUCAUGAGGAAGACCAGUGGCGAAGGCGGAUCUCGGGACAGUUCCUGACACUGAGGCACGAAGGCUAGGGGAGCAAACGGG